UAGGAGGGACGAAUUUCCAAAAGGGAAAACCCUAAUUUUUUACUCUCCCAUUUUUUCUCCCUCAGCCUCCACCACCCAAAGACCCCAAAACAAGCCAUCUCCAUACCAUUUUUUUUUUUUUUUUUUGUAAUCAAAACCCCAAUGAUUUUUCUUCCAUUCUCACUGACUAGUGAAGUAUCAACGCCAAACAACCCCUUUUUCCCUUUCCAUUUUCCGGCGAACCAUACCGAAAACCCCUUUUCAUUAUCCUCACGUUGAGCUCCAAGCUCCAAUCUCUCCGGCGAACUACCGAUUUUUAGUGAGCCACCAAACGAACCAGACCACUAACAGCCUCAACGGUUAGCUCAAGCUCCCUGGCGAGAUAGAAACCAUACCACCAACAAGCACCACCUCAAAGGAGCGGCUCCGGCUUCGGUAAACAACAAUCAGAAGUUUCAAACUCCGAGAUCGUCCCCUUUUUCCGUCUGGCUUGCAGUUGGAGCUUCCUGUUUCAGUCGACCGAUCUGAUUUACAAUUUGUGAGGUGUGAAUCUAUCCUUCAGGCUGGCUACAAUUGUACAGCACGGAUUGAGAAGAACAAAAGAAAGGCACGAAUGAAACGCAAGACAUC
Long non-coding RNA from Solanum tuberosum (potato), 609 nucleotides. RefSeq lists it as uncharacterized. Lineage: Eukaryota; Viridiplantae; Streptophyta; Magnoliopsida; Solanales; Solanaceae. The record is from RefSeq and is a predicted model, not a curated record. The transcript has 3 exons.